CAGCCGCCGCGGUAAUACAGAGGGUGCGAGCGUUAAUCGGAUUUACUGGGCGUAAAGCGUGCGUAGGCGGCUAAUUGAGUCGGAUGUGAAAUCCCCGAGCUUAACUUGGGAAUUGCAUUCGAUACUGGUUAGCUAGAGUGUGGGAGAGGAUGGUAGAAUUCCAGGUGUAGCGGUGAAAUGCGUAGAGAUCUGGAGGAAUACCGAUGGCGAAGGCAGCCAUCUGGCCUAACACUGACGCUGAGGUACGAAAGCAUGGGGAGCAAACAGGAUUAGAGACCCGAGUAGUCCCUGUCUCUUAUAA
This 301-nucleotide ribosomal RNA is filed under the name uncultured bacterium. RNAcentral describes it as "partial 16S ribosomal RNA". It matches the Rfam family "Bacterial small subunit ribosomal RNA", at positions 509 to 809 of the family's 1533-position model. The record is from RNAcentral.